RNAcentral lists this ribosomal RNA (497 nucleotides) under uncultured bacterium. RNAcentral describes it as "partial 16S ribosomal RNA". It matches the Rfam family "Bacterial small subunit ribosomal RNA", at positions 28 to 507 of the family's 1533-position model. The record is from RNAcentral.
GAUGAACGCUGGCGGCGUGCCUAAUACAUGCAAGUCGAGCGAACAGACGAGGAGCUUGCUCCUCUGACGUUAGCGGCGGACGGGUGAGUAACACGUGGAUAACCUACCUAUAAGACUGGGAUAACUUCGGGAAACCGGGGCUAAUACCGGAUAAUAUAUUGAACCGCAUGGUUCAAUAGUGAAAGACGGUUUUGCUGUCACUUAUAGAUGGAUCCGCGCCGCAUUAGCUAGUUGGUAAGGUAACGGCUUACCAAGGCAACGAUGCGUAGCCGACCUGAGAGGGUGAUCGGCCACACUGGAACUGAGACACGGUCCAGACUCCUACGGGAGGCAGCAGUAGGGAAUCUUCCGCAAUGGGCGAAAGCUUGACGGAGCAACGCCGCGUGAGUGAUGAAGGUCUUCGGAUCGUGAAACUCUGUUAUUAGGGAAGAACAAAUGUGUAAGUAACUAUGCACGUCUUGACGGUACCUAAUCAGAAAGCCACGGCUAACUACGUG